UCCUACGGGAGGCAGCAGUGGGGAAUCUUAGACAAUGGGCGCAAGCCUGAUCUAGCCAUGCCGCGUGAGCGAAGAAGGCCUUAGGGUUGUAAAGCUCUUUCAGCUGGGAAGAUAAUGACGGUACCCAAGGAGGAAGCCCCGGCUAACUACGUGCCAGCAGCCGCGGUAAU
RNAcentral lists this ribosomal RNA (170 nucleotides) under uncultured bacterium. RNAcentral's name for it is "partial 16S ribosomal RNA". It matches the Rfam family "Bacterial small subunit ribosomal RNA", at positions 337 to 524 of the family's 1533-position model. The record is from RNAcentral.